UGUGAGAUGACAUGCUUCUUUAUAUCCCCAUAUGGAUUAUGCUGCUAUGGAAUGUAAGGAAGUGUGUGGUUUCAGG
RNAcentral lists this microRNA precursor (76 nucleotides) under Mesitornis unicolor (brown roatelo). Its description in RNAcentral is "mir-1 microRNA precursor family". It matches the Rfam family "mir-1 microRNA precursor family". From Rfam's summary of the family: This family represents the microRNA (miRNA) mir-1 family. miRNAs are transcribed as ~70nt precursors (modelled here) and subsequently processed by the Dicer enzyme to give a ~22nt product. The record is from Rfam by way of RNAcentral. Lineage: Eukaryota; Metazoa; Chordata; Aves; Mesitornithiformes; Mesitornithidae.